Long non-coding RNA from Oryza sativa Japonica Group (Japanese rice), 509 nucleotides. RefSeq lists it as uncharacterized. The record is from RefSeq and is a predicted model, not a curated record. NCBI's taxonomy places the organism in Eukaryota, Viridiplantae, Streptophyta, Magnoliopsida, Poales, Poaceae.
GUUCUCUGUCAACAAUUUGAUGUUAUGGCACCGUACACUCAAGUCACAAAUGGGCAGUGGCGUAAUCUUGAUCCUUUGGGUCAUGGGAGCUGAUCGAAAUGCAGGUGCGAGGAACAAUGAUUUCUACCAGGCCCUGAACAUCCCACAGAAACAAAAAUGGAAAAGCUGAAAUAAUUUAUGCAAAAUACAAAUUAUUUGCUGUAGCCAGUAAUCUGGGUUGAGGUGGAAGACACGGGACCAGAGAUGAUGAUGGUAGUAGGCUUCUUACCCAGUCAUAGGAGACUUGAAAGUUUAGUGGGUGAACACAAGAUAGGCUUCUUCCAUUUUUGUUUUUUGAAGGAAAAUAAUUUUGCUGUAGUUCUUUUUUUUUUUUUUGACCUAAGACUCCUGCUAUUGUUCCCUAAGAGAAGUGCGGAGGAUCUUUCAGAGGAAGCAGAUGAGGUUUGAAAGAUAUUUGUUUGUUUGAUUUAAGGGUUAGCAUCUCAUGUGGCCAUAUCUAGUUAUGGUGA